Molecule: ribosomal RNA, 441 nt
Filed under: uncultured bacterium
Lineage: Bacteria
Description: partial 16S ribosomal RNA
Rfam family: Bacterial small subunit ribosomal RNA
Source: RNAcentral
CCUACGGGAGGCAGCAGUGGGGGAUAUUGCACAAUGGGGGAAACCCUGAUGCAGCGACGCCGCGUGUGGGAAGACGUUCCUCUGGAUUGUAAACCACUUUCCCCAGGGACGAAAAUGACGGUACCUGACUAAGAAGCCCCCGCGAACUACGUGCCAGCAGCCGCGGUAAUACGUAGGGGGCAAGCGUUUUCCGGAUUUUCUGGGUGUAAAGGGGGCGUAGGCGGUGCAGCAAGUCAGAAGUGAAAGCCCGGGGCUCAACUCCGGGACUGCUCUUGAAACUGUUGAACGAGAUUGCAGGAGAGGUAAGUGGAAUUCCUAGUGUAGCGGUGAAAUGCGUAGAUAUUAGGAGGAACACCAGUGGCGAAGGCGGCCUACUGGACUGUAAAUGACGCGGAGGCUCGAAAGCGUGGGGAGCAAACAGGAUUAGAUACCCCAGUAGUC